GCAUAUCAAUAAGCGGAGGAAAAGAAACCAACCGGGAUUACCUCAGUAACGGCGAGUGAAGCGGUAACAGCUCAAAUUUGAAAUCUGGCUCUUGCGGAGUCCGAGUUGUAAUUUGUAGAAGAUGCUUUGGGUUGUGGGUUCGGCCUAAGUUCCUUGGAACAGGACGUCAUAGAGGGUGAGAAUCCCGUAUGUGGCCGAGGCCCGCGCCUAUGUAAAGCUCUUUCAACGAGUCGAGUUGUUUGGGAAUGCAGCUCAAAAUGGGUGGUAAAUUUCAUCUAAAGCUAAAUAUGGGCCAGAGACCGAUAGCGCACAAGUAGAGUGAUCGAAAGAUGAAAAGCACUUUGGAAAGAGAGUUAAACAGUACGUGAAAUUGUUGAAAGGGAAGCGCUUGCAACCAGACUUGGGCGCUGCCGAUCACCUUGAGUUUUCUCGAGUGCACUCGACAGCGCACAGGCCAGCAUCGGUUCGGGUGGCUGGAUAAAGGCCGUAGGAAUGUGGCUCUCUUCGGGGAGUGUUAUAGCCUACGGUGCCAUGCAGCCCAGCCGGACCGAGGACCGCGCCUUCGGGCUAGGAUGCUGGCGUAAUGGUUGUAAGCGACCCGUCUGAAACACGGACC
Molecule: ribosomal RNA, 616 nt
Filed under: Oidium heveae
Lineage: Eukaryota; Fungi; Ascomycota; Leotiomycetes; Helotiales; Erysiphaceae
Also listed under: 1 other name
Description: eukaryotic LSU rRNA
Rfam family: Eukaryotic large subunit ribosomal RNA
Source: RNAcentral